GUAGGUGAACCUGCGGAAGGAUCAUUAAUGGUGCUUGCAGAAUGCUUGCACGGCGGCGGCCUUAAAACGCGCCAAAUGGCACCCUUUGUUUACGAGUACCGUUCGUCUCCUCGGUGGGCUUGCCUGCCAUGAGGACCAACAAAAACCUUUUGUAGUAGCAGUAUCUUCAGUAAAAACAAAUAUUAAAACUUUCAACAACGGAUCUCUUGGUUCUGGCAUCGAUGAAGAACGCAGCAUCUGACUGACUGGC
RNAcentral lists this unclassified non-coding RNA (250 nucleotides) under plant metagenome. RNAcentral's name for it is "partial contains small subunit ribosomal RNA, internal transcribed spacer 1, and 5.8S ribosomal RNA". The record is from RNAcentral.